RNAcentral lists this ribosomal RNA (610 nucleotides) under Paragus bicolor. RNAcentral describes it as "eukaryotic LSU rRNA". It matches the Rfam family "Eukaryotic large subunit ribosomal RNA", at positions 389 to 820 of the family's 3401-position model. Lineage: Eukaryota; Metazoa; Arthropoda; Insecta; Diptera; Syrphidae. The record is from RNAcentral.
UCAAGAGUACGUGAAACUGCUUAGAGGUUAAACCCGAUGAACCUGAAUAUCCGUUAUGGAAAAUUCAUCAUUAGUAAUAUGAUAUAUUAAAAAUAUUGUAUGAAUAGUGUGCAAUUUUUCCAUAUAAGGACAUUGUAAUCUGUUAAUGUAAUAAAUAUUUAUCAAAAGGUCCUUAACUUAAGUUUAUUCAAAUUAAUUAUUUUUACGGAUUUUUAACAUAGAAUAAAUGUUUUGGAUUUGAUAAAUCAUUGACAGAUAUAAUUAUAUAAUGUGCUUAAAUUCCAAGGAAUUUUAUCAAUGGUAGAUAAAUCUAUUGAUUUGUUUAUUUAUUGUAUGCACUAUUAUGAUUAACAAUGCGAUAGAUUCAGGAUACCUUCGGGACCCGUCUUGAAACACGGACCAAGGAGUCUAACAUAUGUGCAAGUCAUUGGGUAUUUUUAAUAAAACCCAAUGGCAUAAUUAACUUAACUGUUUAAUGGGAUGAGUAAAUUAAUUUAAAUAAAUAAAUAUAUUCAAUCCCGGGGCGUUCUAUAUAGUUAUGUAUAAUGAUAUUUAUAUUAUUUAUACCUCUAACUAGGGCGUACCUUGAGCAUAUAUGCUGUGACCCGAA